UGCUAGUGUUACUUAUACAUAGUAUUCGCCGUUACUUUUCUUUCUUUACUGCAAUUUCUUGAAUUUUAUGUUAGAGGUUGCUUCUUUUCAAAGAAAAAAAAAUGUUAGAGGUUGCUUGUAUAGACUGGUGGUACUUGAUUUUAUAUGUUGGUAUUACUUGUACAGUGUAUUGGUUGUUACUUUUCUUAUUUUAUUCCAGUUUCAUGUUAAAGGUUCCUUGUAUAGACCGAUGUUACUUGACUUUCUAUGAUGAUGUUACUUAUACGUUGUAUUCGCUGUUAUUUUUUCUUUGUUUUACUACAGUUCUUGAAUUUCAUGUUUGAGGUUUCUUAUAUAGUCUAGUGUUACUUGAAUUUCUGUGUUGGUGUUAGUUUUAGUUAUUGCAGUUUCUUCAAUUUUAUGUUAAAGGUUCCUUGUAUAGAUUGAUGUUACUUGAAUUUCUAUGUCGGUGUUACUUAUACAUUGUAUUCGCUGUUACUUUUCUUGGUUUAUUGCAUUUUCUUCAAUUUCAUGUUAGAUGUUAUUUGUAUAUACUGAUGUUACUUUAUUUUCUAUGCUGAUGUUACUUUAUUUUCUGGCUUUAAACGCAUUGGGCUUAUUGUAAGUGUGAACAUGUCACACCAUCAAGUUGAUGUUGUGGCUGGUCACAUAUAAGACUUGAGGUUGGGGUUGUUGGCUGAGUGUUCUUAGCCUUCUGUUUGGCUUGGGCUGCAGGAGAAACCUGUUUCUCCUCCUCCCUCCCUUGGUGUAAUUGGUUUGAUUGAUUAAUGAAAUCUUAACUUGUCAAAAAAAAUGGUGGAAAACCAUUUUUCUAGUGUUGGAAAACUAUUUUCCCAAUGGUGGGAAGCAACUUUCUCAAAGUAGAAAACAAAUUUUCUUUUGAAAAUAAGGUUAAUGAGUACAUAUUGGCCAGGCUGAUAUCAUCUCCAUAACAGAAUUUCAGUGCCUUUCCACUGUAGCUUUUCAAAUGGACUCGUGGGGCAGAUCAUGAAUCCAAAAUACUUAAUAUUGGAUUCCGGAUUAGAUUUGCACUUAGACCAUAAAUUUUCAUUUUUUUUACUAAGGCAAUUAAGAAAAAAAAUGUCCUAUUAGGCCAGAAUUCUAUACGUGCAAGUCGAUUCAGCUCGGAUUAACAAGCUGAUUAAGGUUUUGUUCUCUUCA
Spinacia oleracea (spinach) is the source of this 1161-nucleotide long non-coding RNA. RefSeq lists it as uncharacterized. The record is from RefSeq and is a predicted model, not a curated record. The transcript has 2 exons. Lineage: Eukaryota; Viridiplantae; Streptophyta; Magnoliopsida; Caryophyllales; Amaranthaceae.